AUGCAGCCGGAGACGCCGGAGCGUAUGGCACCGCCGCCGGGAAACGCGUUGCACGCACGUCCGGACGAGACGGCAGCACAGGCGGCGCAGGACGUAGACGCGUUCAAGCCCGACGACGGCUGCACCACGCCGCCGCCACUGCCGGCCCACGGCUCGGGUGACGACCGCGUGGCGGCGAGCAAGAGUGGGAAGCGGGCGGGCGUGGCCGCCGCCAGGUCGAGGCUGCUCGCGUUCCGGUCGUUCGCACGGGGCAAGAAGUCUGGGGACGCGGCGCGCGCGCCGUCGCCGGGCGAACACCUGCCGGCGCACGGUAAGGCGUGGGAGGAGGCCGGUGCGGAUGACAAGGACAAGGGCCAGGCGAGGUGGAAAAGGUUUUGGAAGUGA
RNAcentral lists this ribosomal RNA (384 nucleotides) under Triticum aestivum (bread wheat). RNAcentral's name for it is "partial small subunit ribosomal RNA". Lineage: Eukaryota; Viridiplantae; Streptophyta; Magnoliopsida; Poales; Poaceae. The record is from RNAcentral.